GGGCGUAAAGCGCGCGCAGGUGGUUUCUUAAGUCUGAUGUGAAAGCCCAGCCCUCAACCGGGGAGGGGCAUUGGAAACUGGGAAACUUGAGUGCCGAAGAGGAAGGUGGAAUUCCCUGUGUAGCGGUGAAAUGCUUACAUAUAUGGAGGAACACCAGUGGCGAAGGCGACCUUCUGGUCUGUCACUGACACUGAGGCGCGAAAGCGUGGGGA
Molecule: ribosomal RNA, 212 nt
Filed under: Geobacillus stearothermophilus
Lineage: Bacteria; Bacillati; Bacillota; Bacilli; Caryophanales; Anoxybacillaceae
Description: partial 16S ribosomal RNA
Rfam family: Bacterial small subunit ribosomal RNA
Source: RNAcentral